This 1372-nucleotide ribosomal RNA is filed under the name uncultured bacterium. RNAcentral's name for it is "bacterial SSU rRNA". It matches the Rfam family "Bacterial small subunit ribosomal RNA", at positions 28 to 1381 of the family's 1533-position model. The record is from RNAcentral.
GAUGAACGCUGGCGGCGUGCCUAAUACAUGCAAGUCGAGCGAACAGAUAAGGAGCUUGCUCCUUUGACGUUAGCGGCGGACGGGUGAGUAACACGUGGGUAACCUACCUAUAAGACUGGGAUAACUUCGGGAAACCGGAGCUAAUACCGGAUAACAUUUGGAACCGCAUGGUCCUAAAGUGAAAGAUGGUUUUGCUAUCACUUAUAGAUGGACCCGCGCCGUAUUAGCUAGUUGGUAAGGUAACGGCUUACCAAGGCGACGAUACGUAGCCGACCUGAGAGGGUGAUCGGCCACACUGGAACUGAGACACGGUCCAGACUCCUACGGGAGGCAGCAGUAGGGAAUCUUCCGCAAUGGGCGAAAGCCUGACGGAGCAACGCCGCGUGAGUGAUGAAGGGUUUCGGCUCGUAAAACUCUGUUAUUAGGGAAGAACAAAUGUGUAAGUAACUGUGCACGUCUUGACGGUACCUAAUCAGAAAGCCACGGCUAACUACGUGCCAGCAGCCGCGGUAAUACGUAGGUGGCAAGCGUUAUCCGGAAUUAUUGGGCGUAAAGCGCGCGUAGGCGGUUUCUUAUGUCUGAUGUGAAAGCCCACGGCUCAACCGUGGAGGGUCAUUGGAAACUGGGAAACUUGAGUGCAGAAGAGGAAAGUGGAAUUCCAUGUGUAGCGGUGAAAUGCGCAGAGAUAUGGAGGAACACCAGUGGCGAAGGCGACUUUCUGGUCUGUAACUGACGCUGAUGUGCGAAAGCGUGGGGAUCAAACAGGAUUAGAUACCCUGGUAGUCCACGCCGUAAACGAUGAGUGCUAAGUGUUAGGGGGUUUCCGCCCCUUAGUGCUGCAGCUAACGCAUUAAGCACUCCACCUGGGGAGUACGACCGCAAGGUUGAAACUCAAAGGAAUUGACGGGGACCCGCACAAGCGGUGGAGCAUGUGGUUUAAUUCGAAGCAACGCGAAGAACCUUACCAAAUCUUGACAUCCUUUGAAAACUCUAGAGAUAGAGCCUUCCCCUUCGGGGGACAAAGUGACAGGUGGUGCAUGGUUGUCGUCAGCUCGUGUCGUGAGAUGUUGGGUUAAGUCCCGCAACGAGCGCAACCCUUAAGCUUAGUUGCCAUCAUUAAGUUGGGCACUCUAGGUUGACUGCCGGUGACAAACCGGAGGAAGGUGGGGAUGACGUCAAAUCAUCAUGCCCCUUAUGAUUUGGGCUACACACGUGCUACAAUGGACAAUACAAAGGGCAGCUAAACCGCGAGGUCAUGCAAAUCCCAUAAAGUUGUUCUCAGUUCGGAUUGUAGUCUGCAACUCGACUACAUGAAGCUGGAAUCGCUAGUAAUCGUAGAUCAGCAUGCUACGGUGAAUACGUUCCCGGGUCU